Molecule: non-coding RNA, 30 nt
Filed under: Homo sapiens (human)
Lineage: Eukaryota; Metazoa; Chordata; Mammalia; Primates; Hominidae
Source: RNAcentral
UACACCAUAAACCAUGAGCUCUGUGCCCUC